CUAAGCAACCUCACAACCAUGGACUAUCCUGUGGUUCUAGGAGAGCCGAGGGCCACCCUAGACUGUCUUGGUGACACCCAUGGAGUGUGUUCUUUAAUGAAUAACUAAGACUUUCAAGAAAGGAGAAUAGGUCCUAGAGGGGGACCGAUUCUAAUGGGUGCAUAGAGGGUUUCCUUCGAAAGGUCAGGGGGAUUCAUUGAGUGACACUUAGAAGAAGUUGUGUGUGGGAGUUCUUUCCAAAUGAAAAGUGUCUGAAGGUAGAAGAUCAAUAGGAACAGGAGACAUCUGUGAGAUUCCCCCAGUGAAAGGCAUUGUAACAUCUCACAUCAUCACAAGAAGGGUUACAGUGAGCUUUUACAUGACUACACCUCCUGGGGAUGCUUUGGCCAACCCUGUGUGGAUGGUUCUUCAUUUCACAAGUGAGGGAACAGAGACUCAGAGCAGUGAAGUAACUUAACCGGAUCACGCAAGUGGAAACUAGAGGUGCUAGCACAAGAGGAGCAGCGGCGUAGCCGGUGUGGAACAACCUCUCUCCAUCCUCAAUCCUCAGCUGUGUAUUUAUUCAAUCACGGAGUCCUAGACAGAACCUGACACCAAGUCUUUGAUCCAGUGUGAUUUGCUUUUCCAACCAACCUUAUGUGCAAAUUUGGGUACCAUUAACAUCUGAUCUUUUAAAACAAAGGUGUAAAGUGUAUGUCUGUAAAUAAAAUAAACAAAAUUCCUGGGGUCAGAAGUUAUUUAAAAUAGAAUACAACUAUGGACAAAGGAUGAUAAAGCUAGAUAAAACUAGUUAUACAAGCAUGAAAAUUAUAAAAUUAUAUGUGUGUUCUUAAAAAAAUGGACUCGAACAGAACAUAAUCUUUUGGUAACUUAUUGGGAAUGUUUUCCCAGGCUCA
RNAcentral lists this long non-coding RNA (896 nucleotides) under Equus caballus (horse). RNAcentral's name for it is "lncRNA (ENSECAG00000047455.1)". The record is from RNAcentral. Lineage: Eukaryota; Metazoa; Chordata; Mammalia; Perissodactyla; Equidae.